UACGGGGGGUGCUAGCGUUAUUCGGAAUCAUUGGGCGUAAGGGCGCGUAGGCGGUCUUUUAAGUCAGAUGUGAAAGCCCUCGGCUUAACCGAGGAAGUGCAUUUGAUACUAAGAGACUUGAGUAUGGGAGGGGGAAGCGGAAUUCCUGGUGUAGCGGUGAAAUGCGUAGAUACCAGGAGGAACACCGGUGGCGAAGGCGGCUCACUGGACCGUUACUGACGCUGAGGUGAGAAAGCUAGGGGAGCAAACGGG
Molecule: ribosomal RNA, 252 nt
Filed under: uncultured bacterium
Lineage: Bacteria
Description: partial 16S ribosomal RNA
Rfam family: Bacterial small subunit ribosomal RNA
Source: RNAcentral